UUGAACGCUGGCGGCAUGCUUUACACAUGCAAGUCGAACGGCAGCGCGGGCUUCGGCCUGGCGGCGAGUGGCGAACGGGUGAGUAAUACAUCGGAACGUGCCCAGUAGUGGGGGAUAGCUCGGCGAAAGCCGGAUUAAUACCGCAUACGACCUGAGGGUGAAAGCGGGGGAUCUUCGGACCUCGCGCUAUUGGAGCGGCCGAUGGCAGAUUAGCUAGUUGGUGGGGUAAAGGCCUACCAAGGCGACGAUCUGUAGCUGGUCUGAGAGGACGACCAGCCACACUGGGACUGAGACACGGCCCAGACCCCUACGGGAGGCAGCAGUGGGGAAUUUUGGACAAUGGGCGAAAGCCUGAUCCAGCAAUGCCGCGUGUGUGAUGAAGGCCUUCGGGUUGUAAAGCACUUUUGGCGGGAACGAAAAGGACUGUGCCAAUACCACGGUUCGAUGACGGUACCCGCAGAAUAAGCACCGGCUAACUACGUG
Molecule: ribosomal RNA, 483 nt
Filed under: uncultured bacterium
Lineage: Bacteria
Description: partial 16S ribosomal RNA
Rfam family: Bacterial small subunit ribosomal RNA
Source: RNAcentral